GGGGGGGAUCUAACUCAGGGUCAUACUCUACCACUGAGCUGCAUCCCUAUCCGUUUUUGUUUUAAAACAGGAUUGCCCUAAAUUGCCCUGGCCAGCUUCGAACUUGCCAUCCUCAUGCUUUAGCCUCCGGAGAAGCUGGAAUUACAGGAGAAUUUUAUCAUCUAGCCAGUCCGCAAGGCAUUCGGCAAACGCGGACUGGAUCUCCGGCCGCGCGGAUCAGGUGGAGUUUCGGGGCCCAGGAACUCCAGUGGCUGCGGCCGCCAAGGAAGGGGGCAGGGCUGCCGGGACCCACCGGCUGAAAAUGGCAGAGGAUGUGCUCUUCAUUUUAUCAG
RNAcentral lists this long non-coding RNA (332 nucleotides) under Heterocephalus glaber (naked mole-rat). RNAcentral's name for it is "lncRNA (ENSHGLG00100033700.1)". Lineage: Eukaryota; Metazoa; Chordata; Mammalia; Rodentia; Bathyergidae. The record is from RNAcentral.